This is a microRNA precursor of Tursiops truncatus (common bottlenose dolphin), 69 nucleotides long. NCBI's taxonomy places the organism in Eukaryota, Metazoa, Chordata, Mammalia, Artiodactyla, Delphinidae. The record is from Ensembl.
UUGGCCAAAAAGUUCGUUUGGAUUUUUCCAUAACAUAUUAUGGAAAAACCUGAGUGAACUUUUUGGCCA